CGUGAUUAUAUACAUAAGAUGUGAGCGAGAACGUUUUUACCUUUUCUAAAGAGUUUAAAGCCGGGACAGGGGUAAAUAACCAACGGAAAUUCCCCCUAUAUUGGGGGCAAACCCUGGGGGAAAUUCGGGCUAAUACCCCCAUAUUUUCUUCCGGGAAGAAAGCAGGGGAACUUUGGCCCUUGCGCUAUUCGAAAAGCCCCAUGUCGGAUUAGCUUGUUGGUGAGGUAACGGCUUCCCCAAGGCGACGAUCCGUAACUUGUUUUGAGAGGAUGAUCAGCCACACUGGGAUUGAGACACGGGCCCAGAUUCCUACGGGAGGCAGCAGUGGGGAAUAUUGGACAAUGGGCGAAAGCCUGAUCCAGCCAUGCCGCGUGUGUGAAGAAGGCCUUCGGGUUGUAAAGCACUUUCAGCGAGGAAGAACGCUUCGGGAUUAAUACUCCCGAGGAAAGACAUCACUCGCAGAAGAAGCACCGGCUAACUCCGUGCCAGCAGCCGCGGUAAUACGGAGGGUGCAAGCGUUAAUCGGAAUUACUGGGCGUAAAGCGCGCGUAGGUGGCUAAGUCAGCCAGGUGUGAAAGCCCCGGGCUCAACCUGGGAACGGCAUCUGGAACUGCUUGGCUAGAGUGCAGGAGAGGAAGGUAGAAUUCCCGGUGUAGCGGUGAAAUGCGUAGAGAUCGGGAGGAAUACCAGUGGCGAAGGCGGCCUUCUGGACUGACACUGACACUGAGGUGCGAAAGCGUGGGUAGCAAACAGGAUUAGAUACCCUGGUAGUCCACGCCGUAAACGAUGUCAACUAGCCGUUGGGUCCCUUGAGGACUUAGUGGCGCAGCUAACGCAAUAAGUUGACCGCCUGGGGAGUACGGCCGCAAGGUUAAAACUCAAAUGAAUUGACGGGGGCCCGCACAAGCGGUGGAGCAUGUGGUUUAAUUCGAUGCAACGCGAAGAACCUUACCUACCCUUGACAUCCAGAGGACUUUCCAGAGAUGGAUUGGUGCCUUCGGGAACUCUGAGACAGGUGCUGCAUGGCUGUCGUCAGCUCGUGUUGUGAAAUGUUGGGUUAAGUCCCGUAACGAGCGCAACCCCUAUCCUUAUUUGCCAGCGAGUAAUGUCGGGAACUCUAAGGAGACUGCCGGUGACAAACCGGAGGAAGGUGGGGACGACGUCAAGUCAUCAUGGCCCUUACGGGUAGGGCUACACACGUGCUACAAUGGCAAGUACAAAGGGUUGCAAUACGGCGACGUGGAGCCAAUCCCAUAAAGCUUGCCUCAGUCCGGAUUGGAGUCUGCAACUCGACUCCAUGAAGUCGGAAUCGCUAGUAAUCGUGGAUCAGAAUGCCACGGUGAAUACGUUCCCGGGCCUUGUACACACCGCCCGUCACACCAUGGGAGUGGACUGCACCAGAAGUGGUUAGCCUAACCUCCGGAGGCGAUCACCACCGUGUCGAGCC
Molecule: ribosomal RNA, 1447 nt
Filed under: Cobetia sp.
Lineage: Bacteria; Pseudomonadati; Pseudomonadota; Gammaproteobacteria; Oceanospirillales; Halomonadaceae
Description: bacterial SSU rRNA
Rfam family: Bacterial small subunit ribosomal RNA
Source: RNAcentral